Molecule: RNA transcript, 4961 nt
Organism: Rattus rattus (black rat)
Lineage: Eukaryota; Metazoa; Chordata; Mammalia; Rodentia; Muridae
Gene: Dnajc5
Gene name: DnaJ heat shock protein family (Hsp40) member C5
Exons: 6
Source: RefSeq, a predicted model, not a curated record
CCAGUGCGUGAGCGUGCGCGUUCUUACUGCCGCCAGUGUUGCUUCCGCCGUCCUCUGCCGCUGCUACGGCUGUCGCCGCCCGGGAUCCUCAGGCCGAGCAGUAGGCCGGCCCGCUACCCAGCACAGCCCGGGUACGGAAAGCGGAGCCGCGGAACAGGUGGACGGGCGGGCGUGCCGACAGACUAACCUAACAUGGCUGACCAGAGGCAGCGCUCACUCUCUACUUCCGGGGAAUCGUUAUACCAUGUUCUUGGACUGGACAAGAAUGCAACCUCAGAUGACAUUAAAAAGUCCUAUCGGAAGCUGGCCCUGAAAUAUCACCCUGACAAGAACCCUGAUAACCCAGAGGCUGCAGACAAGUUUAAGGAGAUUAACAACGCCCACGCAAUCCUGACAGACGCCACGAAAAGAAACAUUUAUGACAAGUAUGGCUCGCUGGGGCUCUAUGUGGCUGAGCAAUUUGGGGAGGAGAAUGUCAACACCUACUUCGUACUCUCCAGCUGGUGGGCCAAGGCGCUGUUCGUCGUCUGUGGCCUCCUCACCUGCUGCUACUGCUGCUGCUGUUUAUGCUGUUGCUUUAACUGCUGCUGUGGGAAGUGCAAGCCCAAGGCACCUGAGGGUGAAGAGACAGAAUUCUACGUAUCCCCUGAAGACUUGGAGGCACAGCUGCAGUCUGAUGAGAGGGGAGGGCACUGACACUGUGCCGAGAGUGUUUGUGGUGGCAUCUGGGACUGUUGAGGUGUGAACGUGGACACUUGAGAGGCUACAGACACACCGAUCGUCAUACAGCCAGCAUCCGCCACAGAGACCACCCAGCUGACAGCUGACUCCCACCCCAGCUAUCACACCGACGGGUUCAACUAAAUUCAGGAGAGGCUGUGAUUAGAGGAUGAAUCAGCAUCUGGCCACUGCAACCUUAGAAUCAUGAACUGUAGUCACUGAGAUGGGAAGGCAGCCGUCAACCUGACCCGCUGUGGCUGGUCAGGGCCACUCCCACCUCCUCUUAAGUCCACCCAUCUGUCAAUCCUUGAUACAUGAAGUGCGUAGCAUGCAGUAUUUAAAGCAGUGUAGCUACGGUCUUCUUCUGUUUUAUCCUUUUUUUAAUAGCAUGUAUGGGUUAUGUUCAAUGUCUGUGUUGUGGACGUGCUGCAGCUGGGCUGAAUUAACUGGAUGGUAGUGCUUUUUCGGGUUUUCAGCCACUUGGGUCCAGUGAAGGUUCAGCUGUCUCCUUGUGCUUACAGGAGUCAGGUAAGCACCUGGAGCUACAUCUCCUUGUUGGCCUCUGUGUCCUGUGAUAUGGUCUAGUCCGUGGCUCUGAUCUCAUCCUCAAGGCUGCAGACAGGGCUCUGAUUUCACCUGCAAAGGAGGGAACUGGGCCCCAUCUUCCAGACACCACCAGCAUCAGGCGUUUGCACGGUGUUCGUAUUGGGAAGCUUUCAUAGGGUCUCUGCAGCGUCUCACUCGGCCUCCUGACAGUUUUCCUGUUAGAUCUGCUGUGGAGAGCGCAGGUAUGCCCCUUCUGAGAGUGGGAGCACACUCUGUGUAAGGUCACUGUCUUGGGUCUCCUGGCCUUGUGGACUGAAAUCCUAUCAUUGGAGGCAUGUCUCUUGCUGUGGUGUGUGGGAAAUCAUUUGUCUCUGUUCUGCACCUUUCCAGGUCAAAAGCUGGAUUGACGGGGCCACAGCCUCCUUCCCUCAUUCCUGGGUCAUCUUCCACAUUCCUUCAAGCCAACCUUUUAAUCUUUUUUGGACUUUUAAGAACCACAAAUGGCAGCACCUGCCACUUAGUCAUAGUCAGAAAGUCUCUGAGCCCAGUUGUGGGUGGUAUGUAGCUCCAAGAGUUUGAGUACCCAGGACCCAGAACCUCCUCCCUGUGCUUACCAGUGCUCCAUCCACCCUGCUCACCUUCGCUUCCGCCUGUCAUCAUCAAUGCCUCUGGCAGAGCUGGAGUGUUGGGUUCCUGGAGCAGGUGGCUGGGCCCUGGUGCUCCUGGCUCAGAAGGGUUGGCUUCUUGGGAAGCUGUGGUAGCAGUCACUCACCCUAGGAGGCCAGCUCCAAGCCACAGAAGUCCUUUGUGAACCUCUCUCCAGUCAGUAUUCCAGUCUUGGUUCUAGGGUACCAUGGUGGGUGGAGUUGGGAAAUGUGGUUACCAGGGAUUUGGAGCUAUCCUACCCUCUCACAGUUAGUUGUACCAGACUUCAAUGCCAGGUUCCUCCAGAACCCUCCCGUUGGCUGCUGCUGCCCAUCUGCAUUUCCAGUACCAGUGAAGAAGGAGAAGGCUCAUGUGGUGGCUCAGUGGCCCAGACAAACCAUCAUGUGUUUCUGAAGCCCACCCCAUCCACCUCCUGGCCCCAGGUCAUCAGGGCCUUCAGGGACCAGAUCAGGUUGUCAGGAACUUACAAGAAGAGGCAGCAUUGUGAGGACAAACAUGGCAGUGAUUGAGGGAAACCAUCUAGGUCCUGGGAGACACUGAUGCCAGGGUUCCCAGUCGACCCGACACCAGAACUACAUGAGGCAGAAGCUGGUCUCAAGGUCCUCCCAUGGAUUUGUUAGUUUUGUUCUUAGGAUUGUAGGGACAGCCACUAACAUACUCAGUCAAAGAUCCUUUGAGUACAUCAGGCCUGUGUCUAGGUGGAGUGGGACAUGCCUGUAGCCCAGCACUAGUGCGGCUGAGGUAAGAGGACGUUGACUUGUAGACCAAUCUGGACUUACACAGUAAGACCCUGACUCAACUAAAACAACCUAAAUGAAGAGUGAGAAAUCUAUUGCUUGGCCCAUAUUUGGAACAAAGGAAGAAGAGAAGUCACUGGCAAUCUGGGGUGCUGGUCCCAGUACACUGGUCUUGGUGCCCUUCUCCCACGAUGACCAGGAACCAGGUCCAGAGUUGUAGAUGAUAAGUUACGAUCUGUAGCACAUCCCUCCUGCAUGUAGCUCUGUGGCCCUUUUCCUCACAUCUUAGUGAGCCAGGUCCUGAGCUGGGACUUGUGCUGCUGUUAGGGUGAGAGCACACAAGUUUUGGACAAGUGUCUUGUGGAAUUUGUAAAGCUAAAUAAAUCAUGUUAAACUUGAAACCCUCCAUAUGUACAACAGUUUCACGGUGAUGAUAGUGAUUGUCAUGGUCAGUGGAUUUUCUGACCUGUCCCCGUGCAGACUCUGUUGCAGGGUUUUACCAUGUUGAUCUAAGGCCCCCUUGAUUUCAUUUGCCCUAAGCUAAGAACUGGUGAGUCUCAGAUUGGCCUGACUAUUCCUGUGCAAAUAUAAAUAUUAAAUAUAUAGACACACACACACUCCCCUAACUUUUGUACUAGUCAGCAGUGUAGGUGGUACUGUGGUGCGUUGGCAAGGGAGUGCUGGAAUCUGCAUGGAAGUCCAUCCCGUGCAGUGGAUACCCCUUCAGGACCAGAGAAAGUAGUUAGGAGGGACCCUGGAGGGCCCAUCUACCAAGGCUGCUGCAGUGCAGACUUUUGUUUGUGCCCAAUGAUGUCUUUUCUUGUCUUCCUUUUGACUGUAUUUUAAAAUCACUUUAGAUAAUUCUGUGCAAUGUUUAUGACCUUUCCUGCCCUUCUAAUGUUUGGUUAACACAGCCAGCACCCAAUGGGGAAAAACCAGGAUAAGUGGUAGUGGCAAAUGUCUUUAAUCCAAGCACUUGGGAGGCAGAGGCAGGCAGCUCUCUGUGAGCCUGGUCUACAGAACUAGUUCCAUGACAGCCAGGACUACACACAAAGAAGGAUACCAGUGCUUACUGUGGUUAGAUUAGCUGCUGGAUUUGUUCCUGAGUCCUAAAGCCAGUCUCUUCUCGGAUGUCAAGAUUUAAUAUCUGUCCUACCCAUUGUCCUGCUGACCCAUGGCUUUUAUUACAGAUGAACCUUGUGCAACAGAGCUGCCAGUGUGGCAGCUGGCAGACUCCAGCGAUAGUGACUUAAUCAUUCAAGCUCUCCCUGGAGGGUGUAGGUGCUGUGGUACAGAGAGCUGGUAGGCCACGAGCAUCCUCCUCUGGCCUUCAGUGCACCUUUUAUUGAGGGACAGCUGUGAACAGUGUAAACCGUGACUGAUCUUACUCUUUUUCCAGUGUUUGAGCUGUGAACCCAUGUGUCCCAGCACUGGCCUGUUCCUUUUUAUUUUGGUUGAAUUAUCCUCCUAUGGAAGUGGCAAAAUCUACAUCUUUACUGUCCUCACAAGCUCAGUGUGUGUUGUCACAUGCUGUGAGUGUGGGCUGUGGUGUGUGUCAGUGUGUGUACAUAUGUGUAUAUGUAUAUAUCACACAGCAGGCCUGUCAUGCCUCUGUUUGGUGGUAAAGCAACAAGUACAAUAAAAGUCAGCUCCAAAACAGCCUGUGGUUUCUUGAAGUGUUGGGCAGGGGUAGGGUCUCCCAGCAAAACACAAAAGGAAACCCUGAGUUUAUUGUGUACACAGAUACAUAGACCUGAAUGCAUAACCCCUGGCCAGCAUGGGCUUCAGAUAUGUAUGUGGCUAGAAGGAUGACCAUCUACCAAAUACAUCCCUGGAAACCAUGCAAAGGUCACCUGAACUUCAAGGAUGUGAGGGUCUAGGACAUGACUAGAAACUCCUCUCUUGAAAACUUGGACCAGUUUUAUAAGUACCAGAUUAAAAAAACCAGUCAUCUAGGUGCAUGUAAAGGAUAGCCUGGUUAGGAUCUCUGCCACCGAGGAAGGACCUGGAUCAAGUGCCCCCAUAGGAUGUGCUUUUGGUAUGAUUUCUAGGAAAGUGUCUCAAUACUAAGUUGGGGAAAGAAAUUUUCACUUACAGAGAGAUAAGAGCUAAAUGCAAGUGCAUGUAAAGCCUGUGCUGAUUUUACCCACUGCUAAAGUCUUGUGCACAGCAGGGUACAAAGCUGCUGUCAGUUCAGGUUGAAAACUAUGGUGGUUCCGCAUGGUGACCUGUCUAAAUGUUGACCUAAAAUAAAGAUAGCUGUUGUAUAAUAAAUGUUUUCACUGCAGACCA